Molecule: ribosomal RNA, 429 nt
Filed under: Acidobacteriota bacterium
Lineage: Bacteria; Pseudomonadati; Acidobacteriota
Description: Acidobacteria bacterium partial 16S ribosomal RNA
Rfam family: Bacterial small subunit ribosomal RNA
Source: RNAcentral
UGGGGAAUUUUGGACAAUGGGGGAAACCCUGAUCCAGCCAUCCCGCGUGUGCGAUGAAGGCCGUCGGGUUGUAAAGCACUUUUGGCAGGAAAGAAACGUCAUGGGUUAAUACCCCGUGAAACUGACGGUACCUGCAGAAUAAGCACCGGCUAACUACGUGCCAGCAGCCGCGGUAAUACGUAGGGUGCAAGCGUUAAUCGGAAUUACUGGGCGUAAAGCGUGCGCAGGCGGUUCGGAAAGAAAGAUGUGAAAUCCCAGAGCUCAACUUUGGAACUGCAUUUUUAACUACCGGGCUAGAGUGUGUCAGAGGGAGGUGGAAUUCCGCGUGUAGCAGUGAAAUGCGUAGAUAUGCGGAGGAACACCGAUGGCGAAGGCAGCCUCCUGGGAUAACACUGACGCUCAUGCACGAAAGCGUGGGGAGCAAACAGG